ACUCAUUUGACGGUACCCUCAAAGAAGAAGCACCGGCUUACCUCCGUUCCAGCAGGCGCGGUAGUACGGAGGGGGCAAGGCGGUGAAUCGGAAAUUACUAGCGCGUAAAGCGCCAUGCAGGUUGUUGGCUCAGCUCGAAUGUAAUAAAGACUUGGCUCUACCUAGCAAUCGCCAUUUGAAACUGACAAGCUAGAGUACUGUAGAGAGAGGUAGAAUUUCAGGUGUAGCGGUGAAAUGCGUAGAGAUCUGAAGGAAUACCGGUCGGCGAAGGCGGCCCCCUGUACAGAUACUGACACUCAGAUGCGAAAGCGUGGGGAGCAAACAGGAUUAGAUACCCUGGUAGUCCACGCCGUAAACGAUGUCUACUUGGAGGUUGUGCCCUAGAGGUGUGGCUUUCGGAGCUAACGCGUUAAGUAGACCGCCUGAGGAGUACGGUCGCAAGAUUAAAACUCAAAUGAAUUGACGGGGGCCGCACAAGCGGUGGAGCAUGUGGUUUAAUUCGAUGCAACGCGAAGAACCUUACCUACUCUUGACAUCCAGAGAAUCUAGAAGAGACGCUGGAGUGCCUUCGGGAGCUCUGAGACAGGUGCUGCAUGGCUGUCGUCAGCUCGUGUUGUGAAAUGUUGGGUUAAGUCCCGCAACGAGCGCAACCCUUAUCCUUGUUUGCCAGCACGUAAUGGUGGGAACUCCAGGGAGACUGCCGGUGAUAAUUUACGGGUUACCUGGUACGACCUCAAGUCCUCAUGGAAUCACAAGUAGGCAAGCACACGUGCUACAAUGGCGUAUACAGAGGGCAGCGAUACCGCGAGGUGGAGCGAAUCUCACAAAUUACGACGUACCCCGAAUGUGAGUCCGCAACUCGUCUCCAUGAAGUCGGAAUGGCUAGUAAUCGCAAAUCAGAAUGUUGGGGUGAAUCAAUUCCCGGUCCUAGUACACACCGAGAGUCACACCAUGGGAGUGGACCGCAAAAGAAGCAUAUAGUCUUACAUCGCGAGGACGC
RNAcentral lists this ribosomal RNA (1000 nucleotides) under Vibrio cholerae. RNAcentral describes it as "bacterial SSU rRNA". It matches the Rfam family "Bacterial small subunit ribosomal RNA", at positions 463 to 1453 of the family's 1533-position model. Lineage: Bacteria; Pseudomonadati; Pseudomonadota; Gammaproteobacteria; Vibrionales; Vibrionaceae. The record is from RNAcentral.